Molecule: long non-coding RNA, 372 nt
Filed under: Dermacentor andersoni
Lineage: Eukaryota; Metazoa; Arthropoda; Arachnida; Ixodida; Ixodidae
Description: uncharacterized LOC126533823
Source: RNAcentral
AUUUAUAUAAAUAUAGUACAACUUAUUUUAUCUUCUUUACAAUUUAUAACUCAGGUGGUACUCUUCCUUCUUCAUGUCCUUCGACUCAGUGCACUGCGAAGACAAACAAAACCUGUUGCUUGGUGACCGAAAAGGGUUGCAAGUGCGUUUGUGUAAUGGUCGUGACAAGUUGUUCGAUGGCAUGGAAAGAGACGUGUAAAUCACCCAGUGUGACGAAAUGCGACAAGGCAAACGGCGAGCGAAUGUGUCAGUGUGUGAAACAGCCACAAUCACAACAAGGAAAGCAUGUUCAAGGAACGCAAGGUGGACUUCAAGGGACGAACUUGGGCAAGUACCAUCAUCGUUCAGUGACCUCUAUCACAACGCUACGUU